RNAcentral lists this ribosomal RNA (672 nucleotides) under uncultured bacterium. Its description in RNAcentral is "bacterial SSU rRNA". It matches the Rfam family "Bacterial small subunit ribosomal RNA", at positions 9 to 694 of the family's 1533-position model. The record is from RNAcentral.
GAGUUUGAUCCUGGCUCAGGAUGAACGCUGGCGGCGUGCUUAACACAUGCAAGUCGAACGGACUUAGAUGAAACCUAGUGAUUCUAAGUUAGUGGCGGACGGGUGAGUAACGCGUGGGUAACCUGCCGUAUACAGGGGGAUAACACUUAGAAAUAGGUGCUAAAACCGCAUAAGCGCACAGCAUCGCAUGAUGCAGUGUGAAAAACUCCGGUGGUAUACGAUGGACCCGCGUCUGAUUAGCUAGUUGGUGAGAUAGCGGCCCACCAAGGCAACGAUCAGUAGCCGGCCUGAGAGGGUGAACGGCCACAUUGGGACUGAGACACGGCCCAAACUCCUACGGGAGGCAGCAGUGGGGAAUAUUGCACAAUGGGGGAAACCCUGAUGCAGCGACGCCGCGUGAGUGAAGAAGUAUUUCGGUAUGUAAAGCUCUAUCAGCAGGAAAGAAAAUGACGGUACCUGACUAAGAAGCCCCGGCUAACUACGUGCCAGCAGCCGCGGUAAUACGUAGGGGGCAAGCGUUAUCCGGAUUUACUGGGUGUAAAGGGAGCGUAGACGGUAGUACAAGUCUGAAGUGAAAUGCGGGGGCUCAACCCCUGAACUGCUUUGGAAACUGUAUUACUAGAGUGCAGGAGAGGUAAGUGGAAUUCCUAGUGUAGCGGUGAAAUGCGUAGA